CCAGACUCCUACGGGAGGCAGCAGUGAGGAAUAUUGGUCAAUGGACGAGAGUCUGAACCAGCCAAGUAGCGUGAAGGAUGACUGCCCUAUGGGUUGUAAACUUCUUUUAUAAAGGAAUAAAACGAGGCACGUGUGCCUUUUUGCAUGUACUUUAUGAAUAAGGAUCGGCUAACUCCGUGCCAGCAGCCGCGGUAAUACGGAGGAUCCGAGCGUUAUCCGGAUUUAUUGGGUUUAAAGGGAGCGUAGAUGGGUUGUUAAGUCAGUUGUGAAAGUUUGCGGCUCAACCGUAAAAUUGCAAUUGAUACUGGCAGUCUUGAGUACAGUUGAGGUAGGCGGAAUUCGUGGUGUAGCGGUGAAAUGCAUAGAUAUCACGCAGAACCCCGAUUGCGAAGGCAGCCUUCCGGCGCCCUACUGACGCUGAGGCACGAAAGUGCGGGGAUCGAACAGGAUUAGAUACCCGUGUAAU
Molecule: ribosomal RNA, 466 nt
Filed under: uncultured bacterium
Lineage: Bacteria
Description: bacterial SSU rRNA
Rfam family: Bacterial small subunit ribosomal RNA
Source: RNAcentral